This 515-nucleotide ribosomal RNA is filed under the name uncultured bacterium. RNAcentral describes it as "bacterial SSU rRNA". It matches the Rfam family "Bacterial small subunit ribosomal RNA", at positions 29 to 521 of the family's 1533-position model. The record is from RNAcentral.
AGCGAACGUUAGCGGCGGGCCUAACACAUGCAAGUCGAACGCGAAAGGUCUUCGGACUGAGUAGAGUGGCGCACGGGUGAGUAACACGUAGGUAAUCUACCCUUUGGCGGGGGAUAACGUUCCGAAAGGAGCGCUAAUACCGCAUAAGACCACGUGGUCUCCGGACCGAGUGGGAAAAGGUGGCCUCUUCUUGAAAGCUACCACCGAAGGAUGAGCCUGCGUCCCAUCAGCUAGUUGGUAAGGUAAUGGCUUACCAAGGCGAAGACGGGUAGCUGGUUUGAGAGAAUGAUCAGCCACACUGGCACUGGAACACGGGCCAGACUCCUACGGGAGGCAGCAGUGAGGAAUAUUGGGCAAUGGGCGAAAGCCUGACCCAGCCACGCCGCGUGGGUGAUGAAGGCCCUCGGGUCGUAAAGCUCUGUGGAGAGGGACGAAAACCCUGGUUUCAAAUAGGCUCCAGGCUUGACGGUACCUCUUUAGCAAGCACCGGCUAACUCUGUGCCAGCAGCCGCGGU